Molecule: ribosomal RNA, 498 nt
Filed under: Triticum aestivum (bread wheat)
Lineage: Eukaryota; Viridiplantae; Streptophyta; Magnoliopsida; Poales; Poaceae
Description: partial small subunit ribosomal RNA
Source: RNAcentral
AUGUCUCUCGCCGGCUGCAGCGGCGGCGGUGGCGCGGCGGCGGCGACGUGGACGCCGCCGUACUGCACCAUCGUGGCGGCCGACACGUCCGACUUCUCCUACCUCUCCUGCCCGGCCUGCGGCCGCCGCGCGCUCCCGGGCCACGCCGAGGGCGCAGCCUGCGGGGCCUGCGGCGGCCCCGCCCCGGCGCGCGCCUACCGGCUGCUCCUCUCCGUGGCCACCCACGACCGCGUGUUCCCCGUCGUCCUCUUCGACCGCGCCGCGCGCGUCCUGCUCGGCUGCCCCGCCGACGAGCUCGCGCGCCUCUUCGCCGCGCACCGGGGCGCCGCGCGCGCCGCGGCGGACGCCCUGCAGGGGGAGAUGUGCCGCCUGGCGCUGCGCGAGCCCACCAAGGACGGCGCCGAGCACCUCCGCGCCGUCUCCGUUGUGCCGCUCCGCGACGGGUUCCGCUCGGUCGCCGACACCCUCAGGACGCUCUACUCGCGCGCCGGCGGCUGA